CCUUCACAAACUCAUAGCCCUUCUCCAGAGUCACUCCCCAAACACAGCCACCUUCCUCAAAAAUCCUGCCUGUAUUAACCCCAGUCAGCCUCAGGGGCUCUGGACACAUCCCCUCAUCAGCAUUUCCACAGCCAAAUUCCCCCUUGUCCUUCUUUUCUGGACACCAACCUGAGGGACAGUUUGCAAAAUUAUCUGAAUGCCAGCAGCCUGGUGGCAGGGAGCAGCCUCUCUGCUCUUCCUGGGGUGACUGCCACGUCUGUGUGACCCCUUCAGAGGGAAUAAAUCCUCACCACGGCUCGCCCCGAGGCCUCCCUGGGAUCCUGGACCAUCCUGUUCCUGUCCUUGGCAAGAGCAGGGACCGAGCUGCCUGCUGA
RNAcentral lists this long non-coding RNA (374 nucleotides) under Cyanistes caeruleus (blue tit). RNAcentral describes it as "lncRNA (ENSCCEG00000007371.1)". Lineage: Eukaryota; Metazoa; Chordata; Aves; Passeriformes; Paridae. The record is from RNAcentral.